RNAcentral lists this long non-coding RNA (756 nucleotides) under Mytilus galloprovincialis (Mediterranean mussel). Lineage: Eukaryota; Metazoa; Mollusca; Bivalvia; Mytilida; Mytilidae. The record is from RNAcentral.
GUAAAUGUACGAAAGCUUGGAUCCUCGAAUACGGAAAACCGGAAAUCUUUUCACCGUGGUCGUUUUUGUAUAAUAUGACGCGAAAGGACGCUCGUCUGCUGAUGUUUGAAAUGGUCAGACAGUUGAUACAAAGAACUUUGGUUUUUCAAACAGAUGGUUCAAAAAGCUAUUGUAAACAGAUAUACUGAAAUGGGUUACACUACCGAUUAACUGGAAGAAACCGGGGAACGAAACAUACAUUUUAAAAAGUCAUCGCAACAAAAGUGUAUCCGGAUAACUUUUUUGUACUUGUCCAAUGAAAGGUAAAUAUAAUCAUGCACAUUUUUAGGACGAUGUUAGACUAGUUUUAUACUUUCAUGAAAAAAUAUAUAGUCACUUUAUCCACGUCAUGCAUGUUAACCCCGAAAAUCAGUCAAAAAUUGACAAAAACGGAAGCAAGUCAGUUCGCCCCACUGGUAAAACGCCAAACGCCCCACUUUUUUUUAACAACACGGCCUGUUUUUUUAAAUUGCUCCACUCUUUUUAAGGGAGCUCAGUCUCAUUCAUCUACCAUUUGAAUUGUAUGGGAGAAAAUAGGGUGGUUGGGGGUUGGAUGAAAGUGAAAUAUCGAGGACGAGUUUUGAGUAAAAAUCUAAAAGCCAGGGCCCCCCCCCCCCCCAAAAAAAAAAAAGAGUAACGACAAUGCAGGAUAACAUUUUCAUCAUAGCCCCCCCCCUAAACCCUUGAAAAUCCAAGUGGGAACUACCUUACCAACUC